Thalassophryne amazonica is the source of this 925-nucleotide long non-coding RNA. RefSeq lists it as uncharacterized. The transcript has 4 exons. Lineage: Eukaryota; Metazoa; Chordata; Actinopteri; Batrachoidiformes; Batrachoididae. The record is from RefSeq and is a predicted model, not a curated record.
ACUUGAUGCCACUUCGAGGAGCCUCAGACUGGCUGCUCUCUCAUCAUCUAUUAAAGAGCCCAGUACGAUGAUCAGUGGAUCAGACUUAUUAUCAGCUUCAGAAACCUGUUGAUGUGCUUGUACGUUUUUGGAUUCUUCUGUGUCGAGAUGGAUAAAUGUUUUCUCUGCUGUGCAGAGUUGAGUAAAUCAACACAUUCUACAGUGUCUUUUUGACACAAUCUGCAGAACGUGGAUAUGACAUGUAUCACAGUCCAUUUGGACCCAGACUGAACCAACAUCAGACAAAACAGUGGGUUUGUUUGAUCCACACCAGUGUUUGAAUGCAUGUUCACGCUUCCUUGAAAGAAGCUAAUUGUCUCCAUGAACGGACCAGAAUGAGCUCGGUGUAGAUGGCACAUAUCAGGCAGGGUGCUUCAACACGAACACUUCCUGAGAUGGUUCAGUUCUUCCUGGGACGUGUGCACGUUUUAAACUCCUGUGUGAACCGCUUGAGUCUGGUGUCAGAUGAUUCGGUGCGAGCACGAACUGGAACAAGUAUGCUAUAAGUGUAGCGUGGCCAUCUUAAAGAUAACGCAGUCCGACUCAAAGGGUGUGCGUCAAUCCAGGACACUUACAGAUGUGACAAACUCAAGAUAGAUGGCGGGUUGUGAUUGGUGGAGUGGCCAUCUUCAGGAGAUCUCGCUGAUUACGCUGCAGACGCAUUCAUGAUCAUUCAGCAAACAAAAACACAACCAUUAAGGCCGUCUGAUGGGGAAGGUUCAGGUUUCUGUCAGGACAAACAUAAGCCUCUUAAUUAGAGACAAACUGGGGAAAAAUGACUUUUUGUUGUCUAUUUCAUUACAAAUUAUCUAUUUUUCUCAGGAAUCAUUAAAUUAAAGCAGAUUUGUUUGCUGCUGAACUGUGAAGUGACAAUAAAUGGACCAAA